Molecule: ribosomal RNA, 396 nt
Filed under: uncultured bacterium
Lineage: Bacteria
Description: partial 16S ribosomal RNA
Rfam family: Bacterial small subunit ribosomal RNA
Source: RNAcentral
AUACGUAGGGGGCGAGCGUUAUCCGGAUUUAUUGGGCGUAAAGCGUGUGUAGGCGGUUUGUUAAGUUUAAGAUUAAAGCCCGAGGCUUAACCUCGGUUCGUCUUAAAAACUGGCAGACUUGAGUGCAGUAGAGGCAAGUGGAAUUUCUAGUGUAGCGGUUAAAUGCGUAGAUAUAUGGAGGAACACCAGUGGCGAAGGCGGCUCUCUGGUCUGUAACUGACGCGGAGGCUCGAAAGCGUGGGGAGCAAACAGGAUUAGAUACCCUGGUAGUCCACGCCGUAAACGAUGAGUGCUAAGUGUUGGAGGGUUUCCGCCCUUCAGUGCUGCAGCUAACGCAUUAAGCACUCCGCCUGGGGAGUACGGCCGCAAGGCUGAAACUCAAAUGAAUUGACGGGG